UGGGAACGUACCUCUUGGUUCGGAACAACACAGGGAAACUUGUGCUAAUACCGGAUAAGCCCUUACGGGAAAGAUUUAUCGCCGAGAGAUCGGCCCGCGUCUGAUUAGCUAGUUGGUGAGGUAACGGCUCACCAAGGCGACGAUCAGUAGCUGGUCUGAGAGGAUGAUCAGCCACACUGGGACUGAGACACGGCUCAGACUCCUACGGGAGGCAG
This 215-nucleotide ribosomal RNA is filed under the name uncultured bacterium. Its description in RNAcentral is "partial 16S ribosomal RNA". It matches the Rfam family "Bacterial small subunit ribosomal RNA", at positions 118 to 351 of the family's 1533-position model. The record is from RNAcentral.